This 475-nucleotide long non-coding RNA is filed under the name Ananas comosus (pineapple). RNAcentral's name for it is "long non-coding RNA (ACOM_LNC025415)". Lineage: Eukaryota; Viridiplantae; Streptophyta; Magnoliopsida; Poales; Bromeliaceae. The record is from RNAcentral.
UAUAUAAAUUAGAAUAUUAAAAAUGCACUUCUCAACUGCUUGUGACUAAUUAAAUAAAGAGUAGAGCUACUAUGCUAUCGGAAGCAUAAAGUAGUUGGUGCUUCCGAUUUUUUAGCGCUUAGAUCAACCCCAUUGAUCAUUUCUAACCAUUUGAUUAAUAUUAUUAACCAAUGGAGACCACUCAAACUUAGGGGGACCACUCAACCCUAAGGGGACUGCGAUCAUCCCAACCGUAGAAUUUUUGAUCCAAGAGCUAAAAAAUCGGAAGCACAAAUUACUUUAUGCUUCCGAUAGCAUAGUAGCUCUACACUUAAAAUAAAUUAUUUUUACUUGCAAUACUUUAUAUACAUCAACCAAAUAAGAUACAUGUAGUUAUAACUGCAAUAUUUUUAACUGUAUAUAUAUAUAUCUCAACCUACACUGUAUUUCUAGUUUCAUCUCCAUAUAGUUUUAGCAAUAAUUUAUUAGUAUACAC